GACGAACGCUGGCGGCGUGCCUAAUACAUGCAAGUUGAGCGCUGAAGGUUGGUACUUGUACCGACUGGAUGAGCAGCGAACGGGUGAGUAACGCGUGGGGAAUCUGCCUUUGAGCGGGGGACAACAUUUGGAAACGAAUGCUAAUACCGCAUAAAAACUUUAAACACAAGUUUUAAGUUUGAAAGAUGCAAUUGCAUCACUCAAAGAUGAUCCCGCGUUGUAUUAGCUAGUUGGUGAGGUAAAGGCUCACCAAGGCGAUGAUACAUAGCCGACCUGAGGGGGUGGUCGGCCAACACGGGAAUUGAGACCCGCCCAAGCCCCUUCGGGGGGCAGCAGUAGGGAAUUUUUGGCAAUGGAGGAAAGUCUGGCCGAGCAAAGCCGCGUGAGUGGGGAAGGGUUUCGGAUCGUAAAACUCUGUUGGUAGAGAAGGAAGUUGGUGAGAGUGGAAAGCUCAUCAAGUGACGGUAACUACACAGAAAGGGACGGCUAACUACGUG
Molecule: ribosomal RNA, 497 nt
Filed under: uncultured bacterium
Lineage: Bacteria
Description: partial 16S ribosomal RNA
Rfam family: Bacterial small subunit ribosomal RNA
Source: RNAcentral